RNAcentral lists this long non-coding RNA (290 nucleotides) under Lathyrus oleraceus (garden pea). RNAcentral's name for it is "Pisum sativum (pea) long non-coding RNA (PSAT_LNC033697)". The record is from RNAcentral. Lineage: Eukaryota; Viridiplantae; Streptophyta; Magnoliopsida; Fabales; Fabaceae.
AACUCUAAGCCUUCCUCACCCCCUCUACAAUAAUUAGACCUCAUUACCACAACACUUCCUACCUGAAUCCUUACUUCUAAAUGAACCCAUUUCACAUUCCUCUUCAACUCCCUCAUCUCCAUCAUAUUAUGACCUUUCCUAUGAUGAUGAUCAGACAAAUAUUCACGAUCCUUCAUCUCCAACCCUGGCUCAACUCCAAGACACAAUAACCUCUGAACAGAACUUGUAUGUCCCAGAUACCUCUGAACCUACGCCAUCUUAUCCGCACCUCCUUCAUCACCUUCGUUAAC